RNAcentral lists this ribosomal RNA (612 nucleotides) under uncultured bacterium. RNAcentral's name for it is "bacterial SSU rRNA". It matches the Rfam family "Bacterial small subunit ribosomal RNA", at positions 109 to 755 of the family's 1533-position model. The record is from RNAcentral.
AGUAACGCGUGGGAAUCAACCCUAGGGUGGGGAAUAACCGCUGGAAACGGCGGCUAAUACCGCAUACGCCUUGCGAGGGAAAGCUUUAUGCGCCCCGGGACGAUCCCGCGUCGGAUUAGGUUGUUGGUGGGGUAAAGGCCUACCAAGCCGACGAUCCGUAGCUGGUCUGAGAGGAUGAUCAGCCACACUGGGACUGAGACACGGCCCAGACUCCUACGGGAGGCAGCAGUGGGGAAUAUUGGACAAUGGGGGAAACCCUGAUCCAGCCAUGCCGCGUGCGUGAAGAAGGCCUUAGGGGUGUAAAGCGCUUUCGGCGGGGAAGAUGAUGACGGUACCCGCAGAAGAAGCUCCGGCUAACUCCGUGCCAGCAGCCGCUGUAAUACGGAGGGGGCAAGCGUUGUUCGGAAUUACUGGGCGUAAAGGGCGCGUAGGCGGAUCGUCACGUCAGAGGUGAAAGGCCUGGGCUCAACCUGGGAACUGCCUUUGAAACUGACGGUCUAGAGUCCGGAAGAGGAUGGCGGAAUUCCCAGUGUAGAGGUGAAAUUCGUAGAUAUUGGGAAGAACACCAGUGGCGAAGGCGGCCAUCUGGUCCGGUACUGACGCUGAGGCGCG